GGAUUACUGUGAGAUUGUUGGGAUUCUUUCAGGCUCUGAUAAUGUAUUUGAUCUUGAUGAUAAAUUGAGUCCUAUCAGCUCGUUGUCAUGUUGGACAUUUAACUCAUGAAGACCCUGUAGGGUCAAAGUGUUUCCUUUUUCAAUUCAAUUCAACUCAAU
Molecule: long non-coding RNA, 159 nt
Organism: Toxotes jaculatrix (banded archerfish)
Lineage: Eukaryota; Metazoa; Chordata; Actinopteri; Toxotidae
Exons: 3
Source: RefSeq, a predicted model, not a curated record